CAGUAGCCACGGGAAUGCGAAGGGGGGCUAGCGUUGUUCGGAUUUACUGGGCGUAAAGCGCACGUAGGCGGGCUUUUAAGUCAGAGGUGAAAUCCCAGGGCUCAACCCUGGAACUGCCUUUGAUACUGGAAGUCUUGAGUAUGGUGGAGGUGAGUGGAAUUGCGAGUGUAGAGGUGAAAUUCGUAGAUAUUCGCAGGAACACCAGUGGCGAAGGCGGCUCACUGGACCAUUACUGACGCUGAGGUGCGAAAGCGUGGGGAGCAAACAGGAUUAGAUACCCGGUAGUCCCUGUCUCUUAUAC
Molecule: ribosomal RNA, 301 nt
Filed under: uncultured bacterium
Lineage: Bacteria
Description: partial 16S ribosomal RNA
Rfam family: Bacterial small subunit ribosomal RNA
Source: RNAcentral